AGGUACGGACGCAUUUUGGGAGGCCGAAAUGGAAGAAGGUUUUAUCAAAGAUUAGCACCAAACAUAGGAACGCAAGAAUAGGAGUGUUCUAUUGUGGAGUACCGAGCUUGGGAAAGGAACUUGCAACACUCUGCCAUGAAUUUAACCAGACGGGUUGCUCCAGGUUCGAGUUCCACAAAGAACAGUUCUAAAGGAAAAAACAAUAGUCCCUCACGUUUAUUGUUUUUGGAUGAAAUCGAAUCAAGGAAGAAUAUAUGUAAAUUGUUCAUGCAAUGUUCUUUUCUCAUAUCCUUGUUGUUUUUUUCUUUUCCUUUGGUGUAUGUAUCACACAUUUUAACCAUUUUAUCUUAGAGUAGGAUGGUCAAAAAUGUUAAAAAAUCACGGUUAAAGCUUGUGAAAAAAAAAGACAAAUAGAAAAAGAAAAAGUUCGCACAA
Non-coding RNA from Camelina sativa (false flax), 435 nucleotides. Lineage: Eukaryota; Viridiplantae; Streptophyta; Magnoliopsida; Brassicales; Brassicaceae. The record is from RefSeq and is a predicted model, not a curated record.